This 11267-nucleotide long non-coding RNA is filed under the name Salvia miltiorrhiza (redroot sage). Its description in RNAcentral is "long non-coding RNA (SMIL_LNC005495)". The record is from RNAcentral. Lineage: Eukaryota; Viridiplantae; Streptophyta; Magnoliopsida; Lamiales; Lamiaceae.
GUUAGACGAGGGAAUAUAGGGAGGGAUGUGAUUGUGAAGCUUCUUCCUUCUGAUUCUUCUUCUCCCCACCUAUAUGAUAUUUCUCUCAAAUUCGGGCACUCUUUUAUAUACAACUUCGAGAGAGUCUCGCUGUUACUCAAUAACCAAUCAGCUGGCAGACAUUCCACACCGAUCUUCUCAAUCCUCAAUUCUUCAAGGCAUGACGAGACAUGACUUGGAACACUCAUCAAUUGCUCGCAAUCAUUAAUAUCCAAAUGUUGGAGGCGAGGAAAUAGCUUCACUUCACUUCCAUCCGAAAUUUCUAUUUCUGCCCACUCUGCCAGCUUAGGCAUUGAAGACAAUUCAAACCUCUCGAGAGCUGGGAAAACAAUGCUUGUGUCCUUGUUCACCAUUCCAUAGAAUGAUGAAUUUAUACACUUCACAUUGCUCAAUCCCCCCAAAUCAAGGGACUUGAGAUUGGGCAAGUGCCCCAACAUUGGCAUCUCUUCACAUUCUCUGCAGUACUUGAGUGAUAACGACAUUAACUUGUUAAGUAGCAGCCAAGAGCCUUGAGGCGCAUCCCGAACUGCCAUCUUCUGAGUCCAUGAUGGAAAUCUUUUGCCGUUGAAUCCAUCAAUCUCUAACUCCCUCAGAUCUGAGUGAGGUUGAAGGCCUUCCAAUACAUCCUCAUCAUUUCCAAUGUCAUCACCCCAUUUCAAACACAGCUCCAAUAUUUUUGACUUUUUGAAUAAAUUGGCUUUCCCAGCCUCAUCCUUGUCAUGAACCCUUUCCAGAUUGCCAAUCCAUAGCUUUCCUUUAAGAUUAUUCAAACUUCCGAGCUCUUCAAUUUUGCAGCCAUUCUCGUCGCCCACUGGAAAGUGCGUUAGCGUUUGGAGAGAAGUUAAUCUCCCAAUUCCCAUAGGCAACUCUACAUCCUCAUUAAUAUAAAGAUGCCUCAAGUUAAUCAAGUACUUAAUCGUACUGGGCAGUUUUCUCUCAAUUCUUCUCACAAUUCUCCAAUACAAACCUUGUGUGUCUACUCUCAACGUCUGCAAGUGAAAGAAUUCACCAAUCCAAUCCGGCAAAUCUUUAAUACUUGUCUUUGAAAUGUCAAAAUCUCUCAAAUGUAUCAACUUUUUAAUCGAACUUGGCAGCUCUUUUAUAACUAUAGAGUCAACACGUAAAACAUGCAAACUUUCCAAGUCUGAGAAGUUGAUAUCAGAAAUAUCACCUUCCGAUGUUAUUAGUAAUGUACGCAAAGACUUUGCCAUUUCUUUUGGGAUACGACUUGAUUCGUCUCCAUAAUAGUUGUCUCCGAGAAUCAUGUAUCGAACUCGGCUGCUACCACCUGUACUGUUAGAGGAGCUUGAAACAGAACAAGCGAGAUCGUGCACAAGAUCAUGCAUGCCACAACUUUCUACAUUUCCAAAACGAUCUCUCUUUGAAACUUGCAGUAAAGAGUUGUGAAGAAGAAGGUUGAUAAAUUUUUCGCCCAUGGACUCCAUGUCAUCCCUUUCAUCAGCUGGAAGAAAACCUUCUGCCAUCCAAAACUCAAUCAGUUCUUGUAUAAUGAUUUUGGAGCCUUUAGGAAACAUGGCACAGUAAGCAAAGCACUUCUUAAGUAAUGGCAGAGACAAAUUAUCAAAGCUCAAUCUUAAUAUUUUUGUGAUAUUAUCUCCACCUUCAUUUGGUGCAAGCCAUUUCUCCUCGAUUGAACGCCAUUUCUCCUCAGAUUGAUUGCUCAGUAUUCCCCCAACUACGUUGGCAGCUAAUGGCAAACCCUGAAAUCUUCUUGCAAUCUUUCUCCCAAUGUCCUCAAAUUCCGACGGAACAUCUUCUUUUCUGAAUGCUUUUGCUCUAAUUAUUAACCAACACUCUUCAUCGGAUAAGCCUUUCAACUCAUGUACAUGAAGUGGAUUCACAAUUGAAGCAACCUUCAUACUUCUGGUGGUGACAACAAUUGCAUUUCCCUUAACAGAACUAACUCCCAACAAGGAAUUGAUAAAAUCUUCCCAUUUCGAAAGAUCUUCAUUCCAUACAUCAUCAAGAAUAAGAAGAUAUGUUUUAUCUUUCAAAGUUUUUUGAAGUUUUGAAAGAAUAUCUUGCUUACUCUCAACUUCAACUCCAUCAGAAGAAAACUCUCUGAGAAUUUUCUUGAAAAGAAUGAUUGGAUCAAAAUUAGGAGAAACAUGCACCCAAAUAUGUGAUCCAAAUCGAGUCUCAUUCUUUAGACGAUUGAAGACUCUCCUAGUCAACAGGGCCGUCUCUGAGGGCGGGCCAGCAUGGGCGACCGCCCAGGGCCCAUCAUUUUUGGGGGCCCAAAAUUUUUUAUAUUCUCUUAUAUAUACUAUUAUUAUUAUUGGCCUAACUUUCUUCUUGUGUAUACUAUUACCAUUGAAUAAAAAAAAAUGAGGCCAAAAAAAUUUCAUCCUGAAUAAUUUUGGGGCCCCCAAAAAUUAUAAGGUCUAAUAUCAUUUUUUGUGUAUACUAUGCGCAUUGACUCUAUCAUGAAACAAUUAGAAGGUCUAAUAUCUAAUACAAGUUUGACUAUUGCUAAGAGUUUUGCAUCUAAUAUGAAUAUGGAGCCAAUAUUUUUAAUAAAAUGUCAUUUAGAAUUUGAAUAUUUUGUAGUUGUUGUGGACAUAACGAUUACUUCUUUAAAAUGUAGAUUUAAAGAAAUGAAAUCAUUUGAUCAUAUAUUUGGUUUUCAUUUGAUUCGAAAACUUUAAAAUUUUUGGAUAGUGAAAAAUUAAGACAUUAAUGUGUUAAUUUUAAAUCUACUUUUACUCAUUAUAUGAGUUAGAUGAUUUAUUUAUUGAAUUAAAAAUAUUACAAAUGAAAUUAUCAAAUAAAAUAACUUCAACUAUUGAAAUUCUUGAAUUUAUGAAAAUUACAGAUUGUUAUCCAAAUGUUGCAAUAUUGUUAACUAUGUCUGUAACAGUAGCUUCGGCUGAGAAGAGUUUAUGGAAGUUAAAAUUAUUGAAGACAUAUUUAAAAACGUCGAUAUGGCAAAAAAGAUUAAAUAGUUUAGCAAUUUUUUGUAUUAAAAAAUAUAUCUUAAAAAAUAUUGAAACAAAUGUUCUUAUAGAUGACUUUGCAAGUAAAAAAGGCGAGAAUAAGUCAUUUUUUUUAUAAUUAUUAAUAUACUUUUUACUGAAAUAUUAUAAUAUGACUUUAAAAAAAGUGUUUUUUUGUGUUGUUAUGAUGGUGAAUAGAGGGCCCAUUUUUAUCGUUUCGCCCUGGGCCCAUUUUUCGUCAGAAACGGCCCUGCUAGUCAAUGUCGUCUUCCCCAAUCCCCCCAUCCCGACAAUGGAAAUGAUGGAAACUGCGUGUUUAUCAGUUGUGAUGCUAUUGGUAAUCAUCUCAACUAUUUCCGACUCAACAUUAUCUCUUCCAAUAAAAAUUGGAUCAAGAGUGUAUGAAUCAGUUUCCAAAGCAGCAAUAACCAAAGCAGGCUCAUUAGCAAGCUUCUCUACGAGGCCAAGCUUGGCGGCCUCUUUGUUAAUGAACUCCAAAUUCUCAUUGAUUUCUUUGAUUUUAAGAGCCAUAUUUCGAGAACGUGAAAUAUGCUUGAAGCAUGAGAAGCAUGAUGGUACCUUUUCCUCCUCGGGCUCAGUGGGCUUGAUUUGUUUGGAGAGAAGAUNUUCCGUAGAAUGAAUAAUUUAUACACUUCAAAUUCAACCAAUGAUACAACACAAGGGACUUGAGAUUGGGCAAGUGCCCAACAUUGGAACACUCGUCAAUUGCGGGCAAUCAUGAAUUUCCAAAUGUUGGAGGCGAGGAAAUAGCUUCACUUCACUUCCAUCCGAAAUUUCUAUUUCUGGCCACUCUGCCAGCUUAAGCAUGUACCACAAUAUGAGCACUUCGAGAGCUGGAAAAGCAAUGCCUGACUCCUUGUUCACCAUUCCGUAGAAUGAUGAAUUUAUACACUUCACAGUUAAACAAUCCCACAACUCAAGGGACUUGAGAUUUGGCAAGUGCCCCAACAUUGGGAUCUCUUCACAUUCUUCACAGUCAAUGAGUGAUAACGAGAUUAACUUGUUAAGUAGCACCCAAGAGCCUUGAGGCGCAUCUCCAACUGACAUCUUCUCAGUCCAUAAUGGAAAUCUUUUUCCAUUGAAUCGCUCGAUCUCUAACUCCCUCAGAUCUGAGUGAGGUUGAAGGCCUUCCAAUACACUCUCAUCAUUUCUUUCACCAUCUCUGUUCCAACCCCAUUCCAAACACAAGUUCAAUAUUUUAGACUUUUUGAAUAAAUUGGCUUUCCCAGCCUCUUCCUUGUCAUGAACCCUUUCCAGAUUCCGAAUCUGCAACUCUCCUUUAAGAUUAUUCAAACUUCCGAGCUCUUCAAUUUUGCAGCCAUUCUCGUCGCCCACUGGAAAGCGCGUUAGCGUUUGGAGAGAAGUUAAUCUCCCAAUUCCCAUAGGCAACUCUACAUGCUCACUAAUAUAAAGAUGCCUCAAGUUAAUCAAGUACUUAAUCGUACUUGGCAGUUUUCCCAUAUAUCCUAAAGGUAGUCUCAACGUCUGCAAGUGAAAGAAUUCACCAAUCCAAUCCGGCAAAACUUCAAUUCUUGUAUCUGAAAUGUCAAAAUCUCUCAAAUGUAUCAACUUCUGAAUCGAACUUGGCAGCACUUUAACUCCAUAACCUUGAAGACGUAAAACAUGAAGACUUUCCAAGUCUGAAAAGUUCAUAUCAGAACCACCAUAAUAGAUUGAUGAUAUUAAUAAUGUACGCAAAGAUUUUACCAUUUCUUUUGGAAUUGGACUUGAUUUGUCUCCACAAUAAUUGUCUUCUUCGCGAAUCAUGUAUCGAACUCGACUGUUACCACAGUUAGAGGAACUUGAAACAGAACAAGCGAGAUCAUGCACAAGAUCGUGCAUGCCACAACUUUCUACAUUUCCGUCAUCAUCUCUUUCUGAAACUUGCAGUAAAGAGUUGUGCAGAAGAACGUUGAUAAAUUUUUCACCCACGGACUCCAUGUCAUCCCUUUCAUCAGCUUCAAGAAAACCUUCUGCCAUCCACAUCUCAAUCAGUUCUUGUUUCUUGAUUUUGGAGCCUUUAGGAAACAUCGCACAGUAUGCGAAGCACUUCUUAAGUGAUGGCAAAGACAAAUUAUCGAAGCUCAGUCUCAAUAUAUUUGUGAUAUUAUCUCCUCCUUCAUCGGCUGAAAGCCAUUUCUCCUCGACUGAACGCCAUUUCUCCUCGGAUUUAUUGCGUAGCACUCCCCCAACUAUGUUGGCAGCUAAUGGCAAACCUUGGCACCUUCUUGCUAUCUUUCUCCCAAUGGCCUCAAAUUCUGAAGGAACAUCUUUUUUUCCGAAGGCUUUUGCUCUUAUUAUUGACCAACACUCUUCCUCCGAUAAGCCUUUCAACUCAUGUAUAUGAAGUGUAUUCACAAUUGAAGCCACCUCCAUAUUUCUGGUAGUAACAACGAUGGCAUUUCCCUUGACACAACUAACUCCCGAAAAAGAAUUCAUAAAAUCUUCCCAUUUCAAACCAUCUUGGUUCCAUACAUCAUCAAGCACAAGAAGAUAAGUUUUAUCUUUCAAAGCUUCUUUAAGCUUUGCAAGAAUAUCUUCCCUGCUCGCAAUUUCAACUUGACAAGAUGUCAAGUUAUUGAGAAUUUUCUUGAAAAGAGUUAUUGCAUCAAAAUUUGGGGAAACAUGCACCCACAAAUAUGAUCCAAACUGAGUCUCAUUCUUCAGACGAUUGAAGACUUUCCUAGUCAAUGUCGUCUUCCCCAAUCCCCCCAUCCCGACAAUUGGAAGGAUGGAAACUGCACGUUCAUCAGUUUUGAUGCCAUUUAUAAGCAUCCGAACUAUUUCCGACGCAACAUAAUCUCUUCCAAUGAAAAUAGGAUCAUCAGUGAAUGAAUCAGUUUCAAAAAUAGCAGUAUUAACCAAGAUGGGCUCAUUUUCAAGCUUCGCUACGAGGCCAAGCUCGGUGGCCUCUUUCUUAAUAGACUCCAAAUUCUCAUUGAUUUCUUGGAUUCUAACAGCCAUUUUUCUUGGACGAGCAAUAGAAUUGAAGGAUGAUGAGAAGCAUGAUAGUACCUUCGCCUUCAUGGGUUUGGUUGCCUUAAUUUUUUUGGAGAGAAUAUGAUAGUUGAGUUCAUCCAAAACAUUGUCAGCAUCAAACGCCUCGUUUUCAAGCUUCUUCAGCCAACUCUUGACAGCAUCGCUGGUGAUCUCACGCGUCUCGGCAUCCUUCAAGAAAUUUUUGAUCACGUCGAGACUCCCAGCUAGCUUUGCUGCAUCUUUGUCGAGACCUCGGAUUUGAGAGAUCUCUUUCUUGCAGAGGUCGAUGAGGUUUUGAACUAGAACUUCAACGGCAGCAGCAGCUCCUCCUUCCAUUCUUUGUGCUGAUAACUUAAGAGAGAGAAAGAGAGAAAUUGAGUGAGAGAGAUAGCAAAGCAGUAGAAUUGGAUGAGUGAUGCAAGCUCAAGACUUUACAGCCUUUCAUUCUAUAUCUAGAUAUGGAUUUCUUUUUUUCAUUUUUUAUAGUAUUUCAAUCUUUGCCGACACUUUUUUUUAAUACUUUGACUUUGACUAGUUAGCUCAUGAAAGAUUUGGUGGGUAGUAUUAAUAUAAAUUUUUUUUAUCAUGAAUAUAUUUUUGCAUCCACUCAAACCCCACUAAUAUGUCCUAUUUAAAACCAUUACCAAAAAGUUGAAGCUUAAGAAAAUCUCAUAUAUAUAGUCAAAUUAUUGAAUACCAUAAUCAUCAAUUAUUAACUAAAAAAAUUGAAUUUACAAUUAUUUACUCUAAUUGUUUAUAAUUAACCCUAUUGAAUAAUUGCAAAAUCAAACUAUAGCACAGUAAAAUAAAAUUGAAAACAAAACAGUAAAGAAAAAUGAAAAUUGUACAGGUAGAAUACAAAAAAGUGGGAUUGACAAAUGACGAUCUCAAGUGUAUAAGUACCAAAAAGUUGUUAAGAUUUGAUCUCUUCUUGAAUAAUUCGAAAUGAUAAAAUUAGUUUGAUCAAAAAAUAAAAAAGGAAUACUUAGGAGCCGUUCUAUUUGGACCAACCAAAUUAACAUUGUUAACUAAUAUUAUUGCUCGAAAAUAUGCGGCUUAAAAAGAAUCUCAUCAUGGUGGAUCAAUACAUAGAAAUUUUAAUGGGCUUUAAUCAUCAAGGCCCAUCUCUACUCAGUAUCCAGAUAAGCCCAACAAGCUAAUUGAAGCUUCGAAAAAUUGUUCUAUAAGUGCCCUUUGUCAUGAAGAUUCUACGGAGGAGGCACAAUGUUUGCUUACAGAGAUGCAGAGUCAUGGUUGUGCACCUGACGAAGUGACAUACAACAUCAUGACGCGAAGUUUCCUAAAGAAGAAAGAGCUUAGCAAGGCAAUACUAUACUUGGAAGUAAUGCGCGAAAAGGGAAUCUCAGCGGAUGUUUCUACUCUUUCCAUGCUAGUUGAUCAAAUGCAAGGACAAACUAAAGAUGUUUUUCUUCUCAAAUUGAUGAAGGAUGUUUUGCCAAAGGAUAUUGUAUCAUAAUCCACUCAGGCUUCGGGGCUGAUCUCUAGUGUCUUUUUAUAUCUUCUGUUUUUCUUUUUCUUUUUUUUUGUAAAAAAGAUUUUUCUUGUGAUGUUUGGAAGGGUACUUUCUUUUCCUUUAUUUGUGGGUGGUUUUGAAUUAGUCGAUUUGAGUAAUAUUUCUCAUCAUGUGUGCAUAUAUAUUCUCAUAUUUUAAUAGAUUCAUACACUGCAGAAAUAUAUUCAUUUAUGUCUUCUAUUUGUCUUCUGGUUUUUAAUAGAUUCAAGAAUGGAUGUCUUCGAUCUUUGUCUAGUCACAAAUUCAAGCUCAGUAAUAAUGCUUGGGCCUCAAUAAUAAUGUUUGGGCUCAAAAAUAUUUGGGCCUUAUUUGGGCUAAAAAAUUAUUGCAAUUAUAACUUGGCCCAAACUUAAAUUAUAGGAAUUACAUUCUAAGGCCUAUUUUCAAAGCCACUUUAAAAUCAUAAUAAAUAACGUUAAAUAUAUAAAUGAAUUUAUGUUGUUACAAAAACUUUUCUAAUCAUACUUGAAAGGGUUACUUACAUAUAAUAUACUUACAAAUGGCGAACGGAGAAGCUCAUUGCUCCUGCAAGCAAUAAUGGAUACAGGAAUUUAAUCAUGAUCGAGCGAGAUUUCAUCGAAAUUUUGUGAUAAGGUGAAUUUAUAUAAAAAAAAUUAAUCACAUAAAAUAUAUAGGUAAUAAAAAAAAAUAAAAAUAAAAAAUAGACAGGGUGCUUGGCCUCUGCCAACGCCCCUGCCUGCGUGCAUAUUCGAAAAAGAGUUCUAACUUCUGAAUUAUCAAUUAGUAAUUAAUUUCUGGCUUCAACGUAAUACAUAGGCACAAAAUGUUUAAUCCUUUUAAAGACAAAAUACAUAUGAAUUCUGAAUAUAAAAAUGCAGUGAGCUCAUCCAAACACAACAACUUUUUGCAAACAAAUAUCCAUUCAUAAAAUUCACACGAUUCUUCAUCUCUACAAGCAAACGUUCUACCUCCUCCAUAGAUCCUUCUUGACAAAGUGAAUGAAGGAUCAUAUUAUAUAUCCAAACAUUAGGUUGCAAACCUUUAGAAGGAAGUUCCCUCAAAAGAUCUCUUGCAACAUCGCGUUUGCCAUUUUUGCAUAAUCCAUCAUUGCUGAGGAUACUGGUGGGGGCCGGGGCGGUCGAGGUGGGCACGCAUCAGAGCGACGGGCAGAGGCUGAGGUGCGAGGAGGUCGGGGAGCGGAAGGAGCCGAGGGCGAUGUCGAGGGAGUGGACGACGUAUCGCUCGGCGCAUCAGAUGGGGAGCUGCAGAAUGGGGGUGGAUGAAGAGGAAGGAGCAGUUGAUGAGAAUGGGGAGAGUUGGGAGGCAAAGGGGCUGUUUGUGUGUGAUGCGAGUGUGCUGCCGGGAGCUGUUGGUGUUAAUCCAAUGAUCACCAUUCAAUCAACGCCAUAUUGUUUGUCUAAUAAGAUUGCUCAAACAUUGAAGAUGGAGAAGAUGUGAAUCUUCAUUCCUUCUUCAUCAACACAUGCUUGAUGAUUCAACCAUGUUUGUUUCUUGUCUUCACCAUUUGCCUUCUUUAAUACUUGCACCAUGAAAACAUAUACUAUAUAGAUAUAACUGAUACAACCCCCAACAUCAUUUCAUCAAAUUCAAGCUAGCAUGCCUCAAUAUUCAAACAUAAGAAAUAGGCAUUAAUCAUUCAUCAAGAAAUGGAAAAAGCUGGCUACCUCCCUUUUUGCUGGGACUGGAUUCAACUUCCACAGCUGCUGAAUCCUCUUGUUUCACUAUCUUCACAUCUUCAACAUUGUUGUCUGAAUUUUUGUCAUCAUCCUUCUCUUCACAGUCAACAACUACACUGUCGUCAUUCGUCCCCACGAGCAAGCUCGUUGAGGCUGCCUCGCCUCCAAGCUCUUCAAAAGCUCCCCUAUUACUGCCAUGAAUGUUAAAACAAUAACAGAUAGUUCAAGUUUGAUGGGAUGUAACUAACAAUAAACAACUUGCAAUAAGGCUGGACUCUGAUAUCAAAUUAAUAGCUUUUGAAGAAAAAAUCAUAAAAGCAGAACCAUAAACAGAACAAUAGACACAUGCUUGAGAGAUUGACAUUUAGUCCUACACAAAUUAUAUUAAUGGAUCUCAUAUAUAUAUCCUCAUGUCAUCUUGGAAUUUAUUUGAUUCUAUUAGAAACUUUUUUUCUUAAACAGAAUGAGACCUCUAUUCAAUUAGCCAUUCAUUUAUGAAGCUUAUAUGCCCCUCCAAAUCCACCUGAAAAGUAGACAAUCUUCAUCAACACAUGUUUCUUUCUUGUCUUCAUUCUUGUCUUCUUUAAUAAUUACACCAUGAAAACAUAUAAUAUUGAUACAACUGAUACAACCCCAACACCAUUUCAUCAAAUUCAAGCUAGCAUACCUCAACAUUCAAACACAAGAAAAAGCUAAAUGAUUUGAUCUCCUUUGCAUAAACUUGGUUGUGAAUUUCACAUUUUAGCAUUAAGUUGUGUAUGGGCAUAAAUAGUGAUGUGAAUCCUUAGUGUAGACACCAUCUGUUUCUAUAGAUAUAGAAGUGAUCUACUCAAAAUAAUUCCUUACAAUUAAUAAUCAUAUCAACUAAAGUUUAAACAAAGAAUAUACAUGGAAUUACAAAAAAAAUUAUGAAAAGAGGUUGAGCAAGUCACCAUGGAGAAAAUGGAUACUCACUUAUUCCUUCUUCACUAGAUCGCUUGCUUCACUGAAUCACACACAACUGAUUGCUUCUUUCACUUUCCUCGGAAUCAACUGUUUGCUAAGAUGAUUAGUCGCUGUAAAAAUAUAGUAAACAAACUCAAAAUAAUUAAUCUCCUUAUGUUUAAGCAUAUUGAGAUGAAUGAAACAUCACACUAAGGGGUGAGAUCCAUUGUCCACCAAUUUUAUGUAUGUCACUAUAUUUCAUUCUUAUAUCUAUUAUUUUAAUACUAAUAUUUUUUAUAAAAUAAAAUUUAAUACUAUGAAUUAUUCUUAAUAUUUAUUUCAAAAAAAUUAAAUUUUUUAUAAAAUUAUACACCGUAUUUUGAAUUUUUCACUAUUAUUAAUUAAUAAAAGUAAAAUUAAAUGAUGAAAAAUAAUUAUAUACCCUAAUUAGAUGGAAUGAAGUCCAAUUAAUAAUCACAAAAUUAAACUAAAGUAUUCAAAGUUGAAAUUGGAGAAAAAUAUAUAAAAAUAUAAAUAAAAUUGAAAGUUGGGCAUCAAUCCCCAAACUAAGAGCAACUGAAUUAGAAACUCCAUAAAAUAAGACACUUCCUCCGUCCCCGCUUCAAAUGAAAAUAUAGGGCCAUUCCUUAACACACCUUUUACUAGGCUACUUCAAUUAUAAUUAGAAUUUCAUUUUCAAAUAAAAUACACAUGCAACUGUUUCUAGAAAAGAUAUUGAUACUCACCGUCACGGGUUAAUGGAUUUGUUUCCAUUAAGUACUUCGAGGCGCCGCAUUGCAUCCACAGUCUCCAAACUUAAAUUAGGAACGUCUUUGAUUUUCAAUCUUGUUAGACGAGGGAAUAUAGGGAGGGAUGUGAUUGUGAAGCUUCUUCCUUCUGAUUCUUCUUCUCCCCACCUAUCUGAUAUUUCUCUCAAAUUCGGGCACUCUCUUAUUCUCAAAGAAGAGAGAGUCUCGCUGUUACUCAAUAACCAAUCAGCUGGCAGACGUUCCACACCGAUCUCCCUAAUUGACAAAUAUUCAAGGCAUGAUGACGACACAUGACUUGGAACACUCAUCAAUUGCUCACACUUGUAAAUUUCCAAAUGUUGGAGGCGAGGAAAUAGCUUCACUUCACUUCCAUCCCAAAUUUCUA